This is a long non-coding RNA of Cephus cinctus (wheat stem sawfly), 2811 nucleotides long. RefSeq lists it as uncharacterized. The transcript has 3 exons. Lineage: Eukaryota; Metazoa; Arthropoda; Insecta; Hymenoptera; Cephidae. The record is from RefSeq and is a predicted model, not a curated record.
AUAAAAAAUGUGUAAAUUCGCUAAAAACGCCUAAAAAGAAUCUUCUCUUUCCUUAAUCCUUACAUUAUUUUUCCGUCUCUCCAGAAUCCACAGAGCAACGACCUUCGAAUUCUAUGUUCCGCGUCGGUAGCCCGAGGUUCACGAACUCCAGGACUACGAUACCUGAAUCCAGGCGGUACAGUUAUGUCCUCCUCUACUAACAAUAAUAAUAACCGGCGUGGCGUCUACUCCCGCAACUGCGCCAGCAGCCCAAAGGAAAUACCGUAAGACCAUCUACGGGCCAGAUGUAACGUCUUCGUCGGGAGUAGAAAAAGAAAAAUUCGAGUUCAUCGACCUGACGAAUUCACGAAGCCCAGGCACGUAUCACACGUCACCGGAACCUGAGUACGUAACAUUGACGAUACGUGAAACACGUGGUCACUCGUCUGGGCCUGCCCCCUCGGUCCCCGCCCCUGCACCACGUUCCUAGCUUCUUCCUCUUCCGCUUGGCCUACUAUCUGCGUUCCACCUUCAGCGCGCCAGCCGAUCUAACGGGAUCGUGAGUAAUCGAUGGGGCUGUUAGGCAUCGUCAGGAAUUACCGGAGGAGGCCGAUGAUGUCUACGAGCGAGAAUCCUGUCGUCAUCUUACUCGGAAGAGAGAAAGAGAGAAGCUGGACUUCCAUGGACUAUUAAUUAUAGUGAUCUUUCAUCUCCAUUCGAAUCGGUCGACGAACCCGAGUGACGUGGCGAAAUCGAAUGGCUUCUUGAGAACGUUUUAAAUUCAAACCGUAUGCGUAUGUCGUUUGAAUGGGACUUUGAAAUUCCCUAUACGAAUGUGGUACCACUGGUAACUGAAUUCCCUAGAUCUUUUCUAUACGCCAACUAGUGUCUUUUCGUCACAAUCGAUAGCUUUGACGUUCUCAAGAAAACGUCUUUUACUUCGUAAGACGAAAAGUCGGAUCUCUGUUCGAGUGGAAUUUGACACUCGAAAGUCUCGUAGGUGAUGAAAGGAAAGCAGUCGUUCUGGAAGACGUGUUUAUCUAGAGCCAAACGAAAGCUCGGACGAACUUUCGAUACGAUUGUCUGGUCGAGAUACCGAAACGCGUUUUUAUCUGGAGAAAUUUCAAGGAGACUCAUUCGGCUUCACGAUUAUUAUAAUCGGACGAGAAAUCAUUACGAAGCUCGCGUGGAUGCUUAUCGUCAUACGAGGACUGAGCGUGACAGUGAAAGUAUGAAAAAGUGAAACCGCUAUAGGUAUAUAACGUAUAAUAGUCGCAUAUAGGCGUCAGCACUGUAUAUAUAUAUAUAUGUAUAAGAAUAUUAUUUCUUUCAAACUGUUCACACCGGGUGACUAAACAAGUAUAGUUUUUUUUUACGAUUUGCACGAAAAAUCAGGAACAGCAGAGACAGGGAGAAAGGAUCGAUGAACUAUUUGAUAACGCGAGCAGAUAAGGGAAUACCCCUAGUUAAGUAGCCUUGUACGCUUUGGACCGUGGACGCCAUUGGCUUUUGUGAAGCUAACGCUGGUAGCUCAAUAUUGAAUCUGUUAGCCAGAUGAUAAGGCCUAUCGCUCUGUCCACACGCCGAGGCAACCAGCCAAGUUGCCGUCAUUUACCUAUACUAAGAAAUUGAUAGGGAGAAUCGAGAAGCGCGGAGGUGGCGACACUGCGUAUAGAUAAGGCAAAAGCGUCACCUUCCUUUUGGUAUUUCGAAAUAUUGCGAGGACAUUCGAUUUACGAAAGAGACGAAGAGAGAGAGAGAGAGAGAGAGAGAGAAGCAAUGAGAAUCAAGAGAAACAUAAUGCUUUGACAUUGAGUCGUGGACUGAUAAUACGUAUAUUUACACUCAGCUCGCUCAAGGCCCACGAAACCGGUCACGCUUUUGGUUUUCUCUUCCCGCCGCGUCGGAGGAACGAAUAUCGUUACAAUAUCGUAUUGUUUGAAGAAAGGGAGGUCACGUACAAAUUGUUCAGCCGGCAGUCUCUAAGUGUGUCAGAAGAAUUUCGAAAAUUCUUCAUUGAGGUUAUCGAUGGUAAAUAUUACAAAUACAGUCUUUUCAUAGAUAUAGUUUCUAAUGGAUAAUACCGAUAAUAAUUUUAAAUAAGGUUCAUCGAUUUAUUCAUCGACCUUCCAGUCUGCAUGCAAACAGCAGGGACAAUGCAACGAAUAGCGUGCAUGUGUCGCGCAGCGGUACGUCUGAUUUUAAUUUUGUAUUAAAAAAAAAAAAAAAGAUGAAUAAUAAUUCAUCACACAUAUCUGAAUUUCUUUGUAUACCGUAGAUAUGCACUGGCAAUGAGAAAGCAAUUAACAAAAAUUAGUAUACAUCGAUAUUCCUUAUUUAACCUUGCUUCUUUAUUAUCAGUUUGACCUCCUCGCAUAUCAAUAUUAAAACCAAUCGUUUUACCUCAUUCUCAACAACCCUGAACGUAACAUACCAGCUUGAAAUUGUAUAUUCUGUUUAUUUAGCUCGACAGCACAUAAUAAUCGGUGUACCAUGAAUGUCUGAUCAUUCAACUCUUGCUGAAAUCUAUUACCCCUGAACUUUAACACUACGGUCUAUAGUCUCUUAUCGGUAUUCUAGUACAGUACGUGCAGCAAGUAUCCUACCGACUUUGACUUCGCUUCUAUGAUGCAUAAGAACCUUCCUGGUAAUGUUUAUCCAUAUGCACGUCUCUCCUGCAUUUUCAAAGCAUUCGAUCGGUCAGCCCCGGAGAAAUGGCUGGUGGUCUCACCUUCAACCGAUACAUAAUUAUAGCAGCGACGGUUAAGGUCGCGUCAAGGCGUAUUUUUAUAUCGCGACCACUCAUCGAGGUAGCGUGCGAGGGCACGCAGA